GGCGAGUCCGCCGCCGCGGAGGGACCAGCGCGGGUCUCGCCGCUGCCGCCGUCCCCACCAUCCCUGACCGCGCCUGCCCGGGCUCCGCGCCAGGAGGGGCGGCCAAGCUCAGCCCCGGCACCGCGAGAUCGGGGACCCCGACGGCGCCCAGCCCGGCGAAGGGCCUCAGGGGGAGGACAAGGAGGAAAGGCGGCGUCGCCGGGGACCCGGCCAUGGCGCUGGACUUCUUGGCUGGAUGCGCGGGGGGUGUGGCCGGUGUGCUUGUGGGACACCCGUUUGACACGGUCAAGGUGAGUCUCAUCGCUGCUUUUUUUCCUCGGCGCGUACAUGGAGAGAGGCUCACAGGGUUUGGGUGGCUGGAAGCCUGUUUCCGUGUACAGCCCCAGGUGGGCAGCUGCUUUUACACCAGGCUGGGUUGAACCUUCCUCAGUGCUUUGUCCUGGCAUCUCCCAGCUGAGGCUGAUCCACAUGCUGGGUUCAUGGCCAAGUCCAUCCUGGGCUUGGGUAGCUGGGAUUGAGGUGCUGAGGUUUU
This 532-nucleotide small RNA is filed under the name Pongo abelii (Sumatran orangutan). RNAcentral describes it as "retained intron". Lineage: Eukaryota; Metazoa; Chordata; Mammalia; Primates; Hominidae. The record is from RNAcentral.